Molecule: ribosomal RNA, 313 nt
Filed under: uncultured Coprococcus sp.
Lineage: Bacteria; Bacillati; Bacillota; Clostridia; Lachnospirales; Lachnospiraceae
Description: partial 16S ribosomal RNA
Source: RNAcentral
GGAGUUUGGACCGUGUCUCAGUUCCAAUGUGGCCGUUCAUCCUCUCAGACCGGCUACUGAUCGUCGCCUUGGUGGGCCCUUACCCCGCCAACAAGCUAAUCAGACGCGGGCCCAUCCUGUACCACCGGAGUUUUUCACACAGAAAGAUGUCUUCCCGUGCGCUUAUGCGGUAUUAGCAGUCAUUUCUGACUGUUAUCCCCCUGUACAGGGCAGGUUACCCACGCGUUACUCACCCGUCCGCCACUCAGUCAGUCCUCCGAAGAGGACUGCUUCGUUCGACUUGCAUGUGUUAGGCACGCCGCCAGCGUUCAUC